This is a long non-coding RNA of Erinaceus europaeus (western European hedgehog), 735 nucleotides long. RefSeq lists it as uncharacterized. The record is from RefSeq and is a predicted model, not a curated record. NCBI's taxonomy places the organism in Eukaryota, Metazoa, Chordata, Mammalia, Eulipotyphla, Erinaceidae. The transcript is spliced from 2 exons.
CAGUCUGGCCAGUGGGCACAGCUUUGGAGCCACCUCACAUGGCAGCCUGUCGCUGACACUCUUCUCAGUACUGUACUCAACUUCACGCCAGCAGAGACACUUAAUCUACAGUUAAAUGACAAUUGAGCGAUAGAUCCUGCUGGAGACUCAAAUACCAUCCCCAGCUCUGCAACUGGGAAAUAAAUGGAUGAUCUCAAAAUUGGCAUGGGUUUUCAGAAAUGAAAUAUCCUCAUCGACAUUUUAGAGGAUCUUUGUAAAACAAACUGUGGGGCAUACUUUGGUCUCUUCAGCAGACUCCCCUUCAGAGAGGCUGUGGGUACAACUACUGGCUGAACAUCUCUGCUGUGCAUGGACAUGUGGACCAACUCCGUCCGUCCUUCUGUGUGCGUGGGUGAAGCCGGAGCUUUGCACCUCUCAACCUCUCACUCAGAAACAGCGAAGUUUAAAAUAUCAAGGUGUUGCUUUUGAUUCCCAUGCAAAUGUCAGAACAAGACCCUCUGAUUCCUCGACUGGCUCCAGGUGAUGCUAAGUGGAAUGCUGGGAAUUAUCAAAAUCAAUCUAUCUUCAAAAGCUGCCUUUGAAAUGACAGGAUCUGAGUCAAAAUGGGAAAUGAAACUCCUCUUAUGCUCAGUCCCCACCCUGCUUCUCAUAGGUCUUGCUCUGCCAGACAGAACCAGCAUUUCUUUUUUUUAUUCUUUGGAAAGGAGGUUGUAAUACAGCGUCUUUUACAUCUGA